This 495-nucleotide ribosomal RNA is filed under the name uncultured bacterium. RNAcentral describes it as "partial 16S ribosomal RNA". It matches the Rfam family "Bacterial small subunit ribosomal RNA", at positions 28 to 507 of the family's 1533-position model. The record is from RNAcentral.
GACGAACGCUGGCGGCGUGCCUAAUACAUGCAAGUAGAACGCUGAAGGAGGAGCUUGCUUCUCUGGAUGAGUUGCGAACGGGUGAGUAACGCGUAGGUAACCUGCCUGGUAGUGGGGGAUAACUAUUGGAAACGAUAGCUAAUACCGCAUAAUAGCAGUUGUUGCAUGAUAACUGUUUGAAAGGUGCAAUUGCACCGCUACCAGAUGGACCUGCGUUGUAUUAGCUAGUUGGUGGGGUAACGGCUCACCAAGGCGACGAUACAUAGCCGACCUGAGAGGGUGAUCGGCCACACUGGGACUGAGACACGGCCCAGACUCCUACGGGAGGCAGCAGUAGGGAAUCUUCGGCAAUGGACGGAAGUCUGACCGAGCAACGCCGCGUGAGUGAAGAAGGUUUUCGGAUCGUAAAGCUCUGUUGUAAGAGAAGAACGAGUGUGAGAGUGGAAAGUUCACACUGUGACGGUAUCUGACCAGAAAGGGACGGCUAACUACGUG